This is a non-coding RNA of Brugia malayi, 118 nucleotides long. The record is from RefSeq and is a predicted model, not a curated record. Lineage: Eukaryota; Metazoa; Nematoda; Chromadorea; Rhabditida; Onchocercidae.
CUGAAAAGGUUGCAUGGCGUUCAGCUUACUCAGCUGGUUGUAUGAUGUUAUCCGGAAUUCCUUCAGUUCAUCACAACCUCCUUGAGUAAGCGGACUGCUUUCUUAACCUUUCGUCCCC